RNAcentral lists this transfer RNA (73 nucleotides) under Manduca sexta (tobacco hornworm). RNAcentral describes it as "tRNA-Val". Lineage: Eukaryota; Metazoa; Arthropoda; Insecta; Lepidoptera; Sphingidae. The record is from RNAcentral.
GUUUCCGUGGUGUAGCGGUUAUCACAUCUGCCUAACGCGCAGAAGGCCCCCGGUUCGAUCCCGGGCGGAAACA